GAUGAACGCUGGCGGCGUGCCUAAUACAUGCAAGUCGAGCGAACAGACGAGGAGCUUGCUCCUCUGACGUUAGCGGCGGACGGGUGAGUAACACGUGGAUAACCUACCUAUAAGACUGGGAUAACUUCGGGAAACCGGAGCUAAUACCGGAUAAUAUAUUGAACCGCAUGGUUCAAUAGUGAAAGACGGUUUUGCUGUCACUUAUAGAUGGAUCCGCGCCGCAUUAGCUAGUUGGUAAGGUAACGGCUUACCAAGGCGACGAUGCGUAGCCGACCUGAGAGGGUGAUCGGCCACACUGGAACUGAGACACGGUCCAGACUCCUACGGGAGGCAGCAGUAGGGAAUCUUCCGCAAUGGGCGCAAGCCUGACGGAGCCACGCCGCGUGAGUGAUGAAGGUCUUCGGAUCGUAAAACUCUGUUAUUGGGGAAGAACAAAUGUGUAAGUAACUAUGCACGUCUUGACGGUACCUAAUCAGAAAGCCACGGCUAACUACGUG
RNAcentral lists this ribosomal RNA (497 nucleotides) under uncultured bacterium. Its description in RNAcentral is "partial 16S ribosomal RNA". It matches the Rfam family "Bacterial small subunit ribosomal RNA", at positions 28 to 507 of the family's 1533-position model. The record is from RNAcentral.